Molecule: ribosomal RNA, 405 nt
Filed under: uncultured eukaryote
Lineage: Eukaryota
Description: bacterial SSU rRNA
Rfam family: Eukaryotic small subunit ribosomal RNA
Source: RNAcentral
CCAUGCAAGUCCAAGUACACGUCCUUGAACGACGGAAACUGCGAACGGCUCAUUAAAUCAGUUGCGAUCUACUCGGCGUUCCGCGCCGCCGGAUAACCGUAGUAAUUCUAGGGCUAAUACGUGCGAAGCGCCCGAAGCCGCGAGGCGACGGGCGUUCUCGCCGGAUGUAGGAACCGACCCGGGGACCGCCGGGGCAACCCGGCGCCCCCGAGACGGGGCGAACCACGGUGAAAUGACGGAUCGUCGGCCCCGCGCCGGCGACUCGCCGAAUGAGUUUCUGACCUAUCAACUCGAGACGGCGGGGUAGAGGCCCGCCGCGGUAACGACGGGUAACGGGGAAUCAGGGUUCGAUUCCGGAGAGGGAGCCCGAGAAACGGCUACCACUUCCAAGGAAGGCAGCAGGCG